CCUACGGGUGGCAGCAGUGAGGAAUAUUGGUCAAUGGACGGAAGUCUGAACCAGCCAUGCCGCGUGCAGGAAGACGGCCCUAUGAGUUGUAAACUGCUUUUGUACAAGGGUAAACCUGAAUACGUGUAUUCAGCUGAAAGUACUGUACGAAUAAGGAUCGGCUAACUCCGUGCCAGCAGCCGCGGUAAUACGGAGGAUCCAAGCGUUAUCCGGAUUUAUUGGGUUUAAAGGGUGCGUAGGCGGAUUGCUAAGUUAGUGGUGAAAUGUUCCGGCUUAACUCGGGAACUGCCUCUAAUACUGUUGGUCUAGAGAGUAGAUGCGGUAGGCGGAAUUCAUGGUGUAGCGGUGAAAUGCUUAGAUAUCAGACAGAACACCGAUUGCGAAGGCAGCUUACUAAUCUAUAUCUGACGUUGAGGCACGAAAGCGUGGGGAGCAAACAGGAUUAGAUACCCCAGUAGUC
Molecule: ribosomal RNA, 460 nt
Filed under: uncultured bacterium
Lineage: Bacteria
Description: partial 16S ribosomal RNA
Rfam family: Bacterial small subunit ribosomal RNA
Source: RNAcentral